Molecule: ribosomal RNA, 796 nt
Filed under: uncultured Glomeromycotina
Lineage: Eukaryota; Fungi; Glomeromycota
Description: SSU rRNA
Rfam family: Eukaryotic small subunit ribosomal RNA
Source: RNAcentral
AUCAACUUUCGAUGGUAGGAUAGAGGCCUACCAUGGUGGUAACGGGUAACGGGGUGUUAGGGCACGACACCGGAGAGGGAGCCUGAGAAACGGCUACCACAUCCAAGGAUGGCAGCAGGCGCGCAAAUUACCCAAUCCCGACACGGGGAGGUAGUGACAAUAAAUAACAAUACGGGGUUCUUUCGGAUUUCGUAAUUGGAAUGAGUACAAUUUAAAUCUCUUAACGAGGAACAAUUGGAGGGCAAGUCUGGUGCCAGCAGCCGCGGUAAUUCCAGCUCCAAUAGCGUAUAUUAAAGUUGCUGCAGUUAAAAAGCUCGUAGUUGAAUUUCGGGACUAAUAUGUCGGUCGUGCCUCGGUACGUACUGGUUUAUUGGUUUCUCCUUUCUGAAGAACCAUGAUGUCAUUUAUUUGGUGUCGUGGGGAAUCAGGACUGUUACUUUGAAAAAAUUAGAGUGUUUAAAGCAGGCUCACGCUUGAAUACAUUAGCAUGGAAUAAUGAAAUAGGACGUUUGAUUCUAUUUUGUUGGUUUCUAGGAUCGACGUAAUGAUUAAUAGGGAUAGUUGGGGGCAUUAGUAUUCAAUUGUCAGAGGUGAAAUUCUUGGAUUUAUUGAAGACUAACUACUGCGAAAGCAUUUGCCAAGGAUGUUUUCAUUAAUCAAGAACGAAAGUUAGGGGAUCGAAGACGAUCAGAUACCGUCGUAGUCUUAACCAUAAACUAUGCCGACUAGGGAUCGGAUGAUGUUAAUUUUUUAAUGACUCAUUCGGCGCCUUACGGGAAACCAAAGUGUUUGGGUU